RNAcentral lists this ribosomal RNA (1521 nucleotides) under marine metagenome. Its description in RNAcentral is "bacterial LSU rRNA". It matches the Rfam family "Archaeal large subunit ribosomal RNA", at positions 1470 to 2987 of the family's 2987-position model. The record is from RNAcentral.
AGUCGAUCCUAAUGUCGCUCCUAGACGGAGCAUGACAGAAAGGGAAAUAGGUUAAUAUUCCUAUACUGCCUUAUUAUAUGUGGUAACACAGACCUUAUAGUUGACGCUUUUGGCUAGGCGGACGAGAACUGUCGUUUUCGUUAACUGGCAUAAGUGCAGGGAGUAUUGUUAUGAUGAGAACUGCAUUAAAGCUAGGAACAGCGCUCCUUUGGAGCGUUCCGCUGAUGCCCGGAGCCCGUGAAAAAACUAUAAGGAUAGAUAUAAGGUAUUCGUACCCAGAACCAGCACUGGUGCCCCUGGGCGAGAAGCCCAAAUUGUGAAGGUGACAAUCUAGUUAAGGGAACUCGGCAAAUUGGCUCCGUGACUUCGGUUUAAGGAGUGCCUGCUCUUGUUUACGCGAGAGCAGGUCGCAGUGGCCAAGAUGACCCGACUGUUUACCAAAAACGUAACCAGCUGCUAACCCGUAAGGGCUCGUACAGCCGGUGACGUCUGCCCAGUGACGGUAUCCAAACCUCCUUUUCAAGGGAGUUAAGGACCGUUAAACGGCGGGAGUAACUAUAACUCUCUUAAGGUAGCGUAAUGCCUUGUCGUUUGAAUGGCGACGUGCAUGAAGGGCGUAACGAGGUCGUCACUGUCCCUAACUAGCCUCCUCUGAACACACCAUUCUGGUGCAAAGGCCAGAGACUUCCUGUGGGAAGCGAAGACCCCGUGGAACUUUACUGUAGCUUGUAGCUGUGUCGCGUGUUUUGUUGCAUAGUGUAUGUGGGAGCUGCUAAGCGUGUUUUUUCGGAAACACGAUAGGCGCCAAUGUAACACCACACUUCGAGUCGUGCGACACUUACCAUGAAAAUGGGACAACUGCUGGCGGGCAGUUCGGCUGGGGUGGCACCCUGCUGAAAAGAUAUCAGUAGGGCCCCAUGGUUGGCUCAGUCGGGUCAGAAAUCCGACGUAGAGUGCAAAGGCAAAAGCCAGCCUGACAGGAUCCAUAACACGAUUGGAUCCUGCAUCGAAAGAUAGGCUUAGCGAACCUCCGUGUCCUCCUUGAUGGGGGCCGGAGACGACCGAAAAGUUACCCCGGGGGUAAUAGAGUUGUCGCGCCCGAGAGUUCGAAUCGACGGCGCGGCUUGCUACUUCGCUGUCGGCUCUCCCUAUCCUGGCUGCGCAGCAGCAGCCAAGGGUGAGGGAGUUCACCUGUUAAAAGGGAUCGUUAGCUGGGUUCACAUCGCUGUGAGGCAGAUGGUUUGAUAUCUACAGGAAGUGUGAGGAAGUCUGAAUGGAAGGAUCCUUUAGUACGAGAGGAACAAGGAUUCGUAGCCACUGGUCUACCGGUUGUCUGACAAGGCAUUAAGCCGGGCAGCUACGCUAUACGGGAUAAGUUCUGAAAGCAUCUAAGAACGAAGCCCUCCGUGAAAAGAGACUUCCUAGAGCAUGGGUAGAAGACCCGCUUAAUGGAGGUGGUGUAUAAGCAUCAAGGUAACGAGAUGUUCAGCACGCACCCCCCAACGCUCGUAUCUCUUGACC